GUGUGUGAAGAAGGCCUUUUGGUUGUAAAGCACUUUAAGCAGUGAAGAAGACUCUUCGGUUAAUACCCGGAGACGAUGACAUUAGCUGCAGAAUAAGCACCGGCUAACUCUGUGCCAGCAGCCGCGGUAAUACAGAGGGUGCAAGCGUUAAUCGGAAUUACUGGGCGUAAAGGGAGCGUAGGUGGCUCGAUAAGUCAGAUGUGAAAUCCCCGGGCUCAACCUGGGAACUGCAUCUGAUACUGUUGAGCUAGAGUAUGUGAGAGGAAGGUAGAAUUCCAGGUGUAGCGGUGAAAUGCGUAGAGAUCUGGAGGAAUACCGAUGGCGAAGGCAGCCUUCUGGCAUAAUACUGACACUGAGGCUCGAAAGCGUGGGUAGCAAACAGGAUUAGAUACCCUGGUAGUCCACGCCGUAAACGAUGUCUACUAGUCGUUGGGUCCCUUGAGGACUUAGUGACGCAGCUAACGCAAUAAGUAGACCGCCUGGGGAGUACGGCCGCAAGGUUAAAACUCAAAUGAAUUGACGGGGGCCCGCACAAGCGGUGGAGCAUGUGGUUUAAUUCGAUGCAACGCGAAGAACCUUACCUGGUCUUGACAUAUCUAGAAUCCUGCAGAGAUGCGGGAGUGCCUUCGGGAAUUAGAAUACAGGUGCUGCAUGGCUGUCGUCAGCUCGUGUCGUGAGAUGUUGGGUUAAGUCCCGCAACGAGCGCAACCCUUGUCCUUAGUUACCAGCGGGUUAAGCCGGGAACUCUAAGGAUACUGCCAGUGACAAACUGGAGGAAGGCGGGGACGACGUCAAGUCAUCAUGGCCCUUACGACCAGGGCUACACACGUGCUACAAUGGUAGGUACAGAGGGCAGCUACACAGCGAUGUGAUGCGAAUCUCAAAAAGCCUAUCGUAGUCCAGAUUGGAGUCUGCAACUCGACUCCAUGAAGUAGGAAUCGCUAGUAAUCGCGGAUCAGAAUGCCGCGGUGAAUACGUUCCCGGGCCUUGUACACACCGCCCGUCACACCAUGGGAGUUGAUUGCACCAGAAGUGGAUAGCUUAACCUUCGGGG
Molecule: ribosomal RNA, 1054 nt
Filed under: Psychrobacter sp.
Lineage: Bacteria; Pseudomonadati; Pseudomonadota; Gammaproteobacteria; Moraxellales; Moraxellaceae
Description: bacterial SSU rRNA
Rfam family: Bacterial small subunit ribosomal RNA
Source: RNAcentral